Molecule: ribosomal RNA, 1308 nt
Filed under: uncultured bacterium
Lineage: Bacteria
Description: bacterial SSU rRNA
Rfam family: Bacterial small subunit ribosomal RNA
Source: RNAcentral
AACGUACGCUGGCGGCACGCCUAACACAUGCAAGUUCGAACGAAAUAACCAUACUUAGUGGCCAGAAGGGUGAGUAACAUGUAGGUAUCUGCCCUUUGGCCUGGAAUAACACGAGGAAACUUGUGCUAAUACCGGAUAAGUCUUUACGGAGAAAGCUUUAUGCACCAUUGGAUGAGCCUGCACUUGAUUAGUUUGUUGGUGGGGUAAUGGCCUACCAAGACUGUGAUCAAUAGCUGAUUUGAGAGGAUGAUCAGCCACAUUGGGACUGAGACACGGCCCAAACUCCUACGGGAGGCAGCAGUGGGGAAUCUUGCACAAUGGAGGAAACUCUGAUGCAGCGAUGCCGCGUGAGUGAAGAAGGCCCUUGGGUUGUAAAGCUCUUUCGUCGGGGAAGAAAAUGACUGUACCCGAAUAAGAAGGUCCGGCUAACUUCGUGCCAGCAGCCGCGGUAAUACGAAGGGACCUAGCGUAGUUCGGAAUUACUGGGCUUAAAGAGUUCGUAGGUGGUUGAAAAAGUUAGUGGUGAAAUCCCAGAGCUUAACUCUGGAACUGCCAUUAAAACUUUUCAGCUAGAGUAUGAUAGAGGAAAGCAGAAUUUCUAGUGUAGAGGUGAAAUUCGUAGAUAUUAGAAAGAAUACCAAUUGCGAAGGCAGCUUUCUGGAUCAUUACUGACACUGAGGAACGGAAGCAUGGGUAGCGAAGAGGAUUAGAUACCCUCGUAGUCCAUGCCGUAAACGAUGUGUGUUAGACGUUGGAAAUUUAUUUUCAGUGUCGCAGGGAAACCGAUAAACACACCGCCUGGGGAGUACGACCGCAAGGUUAAAACUCAAAUGAAUUGACGGGGACCCGCACAAGUAGUGGAGCAUGUGGUUUAAUUCGAAGAUACGCGCAGAACCUUACCAACACUUGACAUGUUCGUCGCGACUCUAAGAGAUUAGAGUUUUCGGUUCGGCCGGACGAAACACAGGUGCUGCAUGGCUGUCGUCAGCUCGUGUCGUGAGAUGUUGGGUUAAGUCCCGCAACGAGCGCAACCCUCACUUUUAGUUGCCAUCAUUAAGUUGGGCACUCUGAAAGAACUGCCAGUGAUAAGCUGGAGGAAGGUGGGGAUGACGUCAAGUCCUCAUGGCCCUUACGUGUUGGGCUACACACGUGCUACAAUGGUAUCUACAACAGGAAGCAAGACUGCGAAGUUAAGCAAAUCCCUAAAAGAUACCUCAGUUCGGAUUGCACUCUGCAACUCGAGUGCAUGAAGCUGGAAUUACUAGUAAUCGUGGAUCAGCGUGCCACGGUGAAUGCGUUCCCGGGUCU